AUACGGAGGGUGCAAGCGUUAAUCGGAAUUACUGGGCGUAAAGGGCGCGUAGGCGGUCUAUCAAGUCAGGUGUGAAAUCCCACGGCUCAACCGUGGAGGUGCAUCUGAAACUGAUAGACUUGAGUAUGGGAGAGGGAAGUGGAAUUCCCGGUGUAGAGGUGAAAUUCGUAGAUAUCGGGAGGAACACCAGUGGCGAAGGCGACUUUCUGGACCAAUACUGACGCUGAGGCGCGAAAGCGUGGGGAGCAAACAGGAUUAGAAACCCUUGUAGUCC
Molecule: ribosomal RNA, 274 nt
Filed under: uncultured bacterium
Lineage: Bacteria
Description: partial 16S ribosomal RNA
Rfam family: Bacterial small subunit ribosomal RNA
Source: RNAcentral